This 54-nucleotide non-coding RNA is filed under the name Compsopogon caeruleus. The record is from RNAcentral. Lineage: Eukaryota; Rhodophyta; Compsopogonophyceae; Compsopogonales; Compsopogonaceae.
UUUUUUUUUUUUUUUUUUUUUUGGUCUUUUUCUUUUUUCCUAGGAGAAAAAUUU